Molecule: ribosomal RNA, 207 nt
Filed under: uncultured bacterium
Lineage: Bacteria
Description: partial 16S ribosomal RNA
Rfam family: Bacterial small subunit ribosomal RNA
Source: RNAcentral
CUCGUAGGCGGCCAACUAAGUCGGACGUGAAAUCCCUCGGCUUAACCGGGGAACUGCGUCCGAUACUGGAUGGCUUGAGUGUGGGAGAGGGAUGCGGAAUUCCAGGUGUAGCGGUGAAAUGCGUAGAUAUCUGGAGGAACACCGGUGGCGAAGGCGGCAUCCUGGACCACGACUGACGCUGAGGAGCGAAAGCCAGGGGAGCAAACG